AAGCGGGAAGAGCUCACGAUGUGAAUCGAGCCCUAGGGCCCGAAUUGUAGUCUGGAGAGGCGAGGCCUGCCGCUGUCCGUGGCCAAGUCUGAUUGGAAAUGAGCAUCAUGGAGGGUGAUAAUCCCGUUCGUGCCGCGGUAUCGAUCAGCGCGCAGAAGGCCCGUUUUCGACGAGUCGAGUUGCUUGGGAUUGCAGCUCAAAUGGGGUGGUAAACUCCAUCCAAAGCUAAACACGGGGGGGAGACCGAUAGCGAACAAGUACCGUGAGGGAAAGAUGCAAAGAACUUUGAAAAGAGAGUUAAAGAGUGCCUGAAAUUGCUGGAAGGGAAGCGAAGGAAAGAGGUGUGCGGUCGCCGGAGCGCCAACUCCCAUUGCCCUCGUGGUGUGGGGGUAGGCCGCUCCGCCGCUGUCAGCGGUUGCGCCGGGCUCGCGGGAGGCCCCGCGCCGGAUCGGUGGCCCUCCCCUCGGGGAGGGUGUCAGGCCGGCGUGUGCGGCGCCGCGAGACGACUCGGCCCGCCUCUGGCGAACGCCGCUUUUCUUCACCCCGUCUUGAAACACGGACCAAGGAGUCUAGCGUGGACGCGAGUACAGGGGUGUGAAAACCCCCGCGCGCAAUGAAGGUGAACGUUGGUGGGAGGCCCGCCCAGGCGGGUCGGCACCAUCGACCGAGCGUGUCCCCUCGGGGGCACGGCUUGAGUGAGAGCGUGCAUGCUGGGACCCGAAAGAUGGUGAACUAUGCCUGAAUAGGGCGAAGCCAGGGGAAACUCUGGUGGAGGCUCGUAGCGAUUCUGACGUGCAAAUCGAUCGUGAGAUUUGGGUAUAGGGGCGAAAGACUAAUCGAACCAUCUAGUAGCUGGUUCCCUCCGAAAUUUCCCUCAGGAUAGCAGCGGCUAUUGUCCAGUUUUAUCAGGUAAAGCGAAUGAUUAGAGGCUGCGGGGGAGUAACUCCCUCGCCCUAUUCUCAAACUUUAAAUGGGUAAGGAGCCGGGGUCGCUUGAUUGGACCCUCGGCAUGGAAUGGUUGGUCGUUAGUGGGCCAGUCCGGGUAAGCUGGACUGGCGAUGCGGGAUGAACCGAACGCCUAGAUGAAGCGCCCCACUGCCCGCUCACCUAGAUCCCACAAAAGGUGUUGGUUCA
RNAcentral lists this ribosomal RNA (1134 nucleotides) under Taonia atomaria. RNAcentral's name for it is "eukaryotic LSU rRNA". It matches the Rfam family "Eukaryotic large subunit ribosomal RNA", at positions 96 to 1231 of the family's 3401-position model. The record is from RNAcentral. Lineage: Eukaryota; Phaeophyceae; Dictyotales; Dictyotaceae.